UACGUAGGGUGCGAGCGUUGUCCGGAAUUAUUGGGCGUAAAGGGCUCGUAGGCGGUUUGUCGCGUCGGGAGUGAAAACCAGGUGCUUAACACCUGGCUUGCUUUCGAUACGGGCAGACUAGAGGUAUUCAGGGGAGAACGGAAUUCCUGGUGUAGCGGUGAAAUGCGCAGAUAUCAGGAGGAACACCGAUGGCGAAGGCAGAUCUCUGGGACCGUAACUGACGCUGAGGAGCGAAAGCAUGGGGAGCGAACAGGA
RNAcentral lists this ribosomal RNA (255 nucleotides) under uncultured bacterium. Its description in RNAcentral is "partial 16S ribosomal RNA". It matches the Rfam family "Bacterial small subunit ribosomal RNA", at positions 524 to 777 of the family's 1533-position model. The record is from RNAcentral.